Long non-coding RNA from Syzygium oleosum, 968 nucleotides. RefSeq lists it as uncharacterized. NCBI's taxonomy places the organism in Eukaryota, Viridiplantae, Streptophyta, Magnoliopsida, Myrtales, Myrtaceae. The record is from RefSeq and is a predicted model, not a curated record. The transcript has 2 exons.
AGAGAGAGAGAGAGACUUUGCAAAAAGGUCAUGACUUUUUCUACUCUUGUAACUUUAAUGGCAUGCUAAAUCCAUGGGACUCUGUCUCAUUGUGCGUGUAUGCGUGUCAGAGAGAGAGAAACAGAGAGGAAUAUGGCCCCGAAGAUACGCCUACGCCUCCCCUGUUUAUCAUUCGCUUUGUUGACUUGGCCUUCUUCUCAAGGGACCCAUCAAUGAUCUCAGAGUUCGAAGAAAUCAGCAUUACCAUUCUUGCUGCCGUCAGCAGUAGCUUUCAGCUGGCAGUCGCAUGCUUCUCUAGAUUCAGAUUUUCGCUGAAGCUCUCAUAGCUUACAGCUCGGUUUGUUGUGUGCAAUACUUAUGCAGUCGACCUGUUUGUUGAUUCGUUUAGCAGAGGAGGAACCGGCCACACGGAGGACUGGGCUUUGAGCCUUUGACUGCACCCUGCCCUGGAUGAGAAUGGAUCCCAAUUGGUCUCGGCUGCCGAAAGAACUUCUCGGCUCGGAGACCAAGUCCAGUUUCGAGCUGUCGGCAAAAAGUUGGAGAAGCAUUAGGCAUCUGACAAGGUGUCGAGUCUUGGUUUUUCAAUAAUGCUUGGUUUAUCCCUCAUGCUUAGGUGAGCUCAUUCUUCUACCAUCAUAGCCAUUACGUACAUGUACUACAACUAGUCUAAUGAAAAAAGGAAAGUUUCAGACCAGAAGGAUUUCGAUUCUGUUGGGGAUUGCUCUCUACAACUUUGUGGAGGCUCACACUGUCUCCUUCCUUAGAUUUUUCUUCUGUAAAGCUUUUGCAGUCCUGAAGUCUUGAUCCCCUGUAUCAUGUCCACACUCUAGAAGAGACUUUGCUGCCACUGCAACGAUUGCCUAGUGGCAUGCUUGUUCCUUGUAAUAUCUCUCUACCUUCCCCUUACUUCCUGGGGCUUACGAAAUGUAAUCCUUGCUUACUUAAUGUUCAGAUUCAUGAUGACAUAA